GAAAUUCAGUACCUAUAGUUAUAUAAAUAUUUAAGAAAGAAUGACCUAUACUUAUAUACAAUAUUUAAAAUAUGAGCCAUGCUUAUAUAAGCACUGCUUAUAUAAGCACUUACUCACCGGGGUUCAUUUGGGAACUUAUUUGAAAGCACUUUGUUUGAAAGGUGAACUUUCAAAUGAAUUGAUUUAAUUUAAUAUAAUAAUUGAC
Molecule: long non-coding RNA, 205 nt
Filed under: Mytilus galloprovincialis (Mediterranean mussel)
Lineage: Eukaryota; Metazoa; Mollusca; Bivalvia; Mytilida; Mytilidae
Source: RNAcentral